AGAUACUGAGGUGUCCUGUGUUUUUAUGGACCUGUCAACUCAGUAAUGCUGAGGAGACGCUGAUAAGUGAGACCUCUGUGAAGAUCAGUGGAGGGAAUUCAGUCAAUGGAGGAAGAAAGAGAAGUUCAUCGGUUGGAGCUGUUUUGGUUGCAGCAGCAGCAGUCGCUCUGUUCAGAUAAAAGAUGCAUUGAACUUGAAGAUAUAAAUGCAGGAACACACUGACGGCAAAACAAGAUUGAUGAGUUUGUUACAGAAAGACUGACGAGGAGCUUAAAUAUGUUUUGGACACGAACACAUUGCUAUUUGUCAGAAGAAUUAUGUUUGAAAUAUUUAUAGUAUUUAUGUUAGAAGAAAUAUACUUAGGAUACUUGGAAUAGAAUACUUGCUUUUAGAUGAUCAUUAAUUUAUCACUGAGUGACUGUGAAACAUGUGUGCCUUUUGAACCAUGACUCUGUAUAUAUUUUAAACCAUGAUUCUACGUGUGCUUUAUGGCAGAAACAUGUAAACACAGCACAUACCGAGAGGUGACCAGAACUAGGCCUUCUAGGUGAUGAAGAUAAAGAAAGUACACACAAAUACCACAUGUCUGCCUCUGAAGGUCUUUCUGUUAAUAUCUUACUGCUUGUGAAGAAGGUUUUUCCAUUGUCAUCUCAUGCUGAGUCAUGGUACCAUCCUCUGUGUUACAUUCCUGUCUGAAGCAAAUAAAAAAGACGCAGGGGUGACACAGGCUCUUUGGAGUUGGGUGGCUGAUGCUACAGCCCGUCUCUCUCUC
This is a long non-coding RNA of Acanthochromis polyacanthus (spiny chromis), 772 nucleotides long. RefSeq lists it as uncharacterized. The transcript has 3 exons. Lineage: Eukaryota; Metazoa; Chordata; Actinopteri; Pomacentridae. The record is from RefSeq and is a predicted model, not a curated record.